CGCGGAGCAGUCAUGGCUAGCGAUUGUGGUCGUAAAGUCGAAUGGCCGUAAGUUGCAUAGGUCAUAAGUUGAUCAAUACCUGUAUAUUCUUAUGAAAAUAUAAUAUUAUAAUCUUAUGAAACCACCAUGUGAUCCAUCAUGGACCAAAUGUUGUUAUGCGGUACAUGACUGUACUGUAAACCCUAAAGCUUUAGUGUCCUUUACUGUGAGAAGUAAGAGACCUUAUUAUCUCCUCCCGCUCCUCUCAGGAAUAUUUACCCCAUUUUUUUUUUCUUUUUUAAUACCUUGCUGCAGCAAAACUCUGCAUUUACCAGAACUUUUCCGUGAACUUACUAACACAUGACGUAAAUGCAUUAACGCUCUUUCCUUCAUUAAUGUAACAUUUCUGUUUUACUUUUGGUGUGUCCUCCACAUGUUUUGAUUUAUUUAUCGCAUAAACAUUUAAAGGAGUCCCUCUUUGUGCUUCAGGAAAGUGCCAAGUGCUGGAACUGAGAGAUGGGAAAAGGCAUCAGUUUAUCUUUCCUGGAUUUUAACUCCGGAGCAGAAACAGUACAUUAUUUAAUAUAAAGAGCAGUGCUAAAUGCGCACUUUUCCCACAAAUGCUGAUUGGAGAUGCAGAUAAUAAUGGUGAUAGAUAAAAUACAGAUAAUAAUGGCUUCAAAUAUUGGUGGCAAGGUAACACAGCUCUUUUGUGUAGUACCGAUCACCAGCAGGAGCUUGGAGUAUUUUCAGAAAGGUCCAAAUGGGAGUGUGAGAGGAAGCCUGGAUAGGCUUUGGGAAGAAAUGAUUCACAGUUAUAAAAAGGAUUUGGCUUAUAAACUUUCCUCUCCAUAAAUACAAGGAAAUUAGCAAUGGGCAGAAAGAGUAAGUAGGCCGAUUUCUUUCACUGAGAAAAAGCAGAACAUACAAUCCCAUUAUUACUCUGCUGGUUAAUUAUUAAUCCUAUGCUUUUCUCUUGCUAGAACUUCUGGUAUGGUAUAUAAUUCAUGAACACACUUUGCCAGCUCUCAGCCUGCUGGUUAAUCUCUCUUUGGUGUCAUUUUAGUCGUGUUUGAAAACCUCCAGUUCCCUUUCAUAGGACUUAGCUUUUCAAGUUCUCAAAUCUACAUUUUUAGGCAUCUACUUGCAUGUUCUUAUCUUUCGAAACUUUUGUGAUCAUCAAUUUGGUUUUUUAGGUUCCAAGAUAUUUCUUUUAGCCCAUUACAAUGUACAUAAUAUCAACAAGUCUGUCAAGAUUCUAAAAUUCCCAUUUUACUAGGAAGAUACAAUAGAAAACAUAUUCGAUGUGUAUGUGAAAGCUGGUCUUCUUGCAAAUGAGUGCUAAAAAUGUGCCUCCAGAUAGUAGCUGGUAAGUGCUUGCAAAGAUGCCGCAUCACAGCAUAUGCAGAAUCUACAAAAUACAGGGCCAUAACCACCUUCCUAAGGCACCUGGUACUGGGGACUUAUUGCUGGAAAUUUUUUUUACUCUAGUUGUUCUUAAACAGUUAAAAUGUGUUUAUUGUGUUUGGUGAAGUUAUUUUGAACGUGUGAAUUAUCAUAGUCCCAGUAAGUGGAACCUUAUCCUGUUGCCAUUUUUCGACCAUUAUUUCCCCCUUCACCCUAAAAAAGCUUCAGCUUUGAACUUCAUGUUAUCAGAUUAUAUCAUCUACUAUUUCUCUUUUGUGCUGUCAUCUGCCAAUCUAUAGGACGUUUUCCUCUUUCUCAAAGUUAUCAGUUCCUCUCUCAUUGUCACACUCUCUGGUACUAUUCCUGCCUUAAUGCUUGGCAAUUUUGCUAUACAUAUAGAUCAUCCUUCCAACCAUCCAUCCUUUCAAUCUUGGUUGUCCAGUUCUUGACCUCCAAUGUCCUUGAUCUCCAAUCUACCUUAGCUUCCACUCCACUCACACACAAGGUCAUGGCCUAUGCCUUGUACCUCAGACAAGCAGUUGGUCAAUACUAUGUGACCAGGCAAUGAUCAGCUUGCCACCUAUUUUAAUAAAGUUUUAUUGGAACACAGUCACACUCAUUAAUUAUAUGUUGUCUACGGCUGCUUUCAUACCACAAUGACAUAGUUGAGUAAUUGUAACAGAGACUGGCCUGCAAAGCCAUGCCCUGGGACAAUAACUGCACCCACUCCAUAAUCACAAUUUUGUGCACCCUUCUCAGACUAGAGCCUUCUGUCUCAGAAGGCUAUAAGAAAUGCUAUAAGCUCUACAUGGCAGACAUUUUUGUCUUAUUUUUAUUAACUGAUGCGUCCAAAGCCUCGAGAGCAGUAGUAGUCACAUUGUAGAUACCCACACAGUAUUUUUUUGAGUAAGCAAACAUAGAGUAUGAGACAACUGAGGUGUACACUGCUACAAUGAAAACAUAAUUUGAAAAGUUUUCUACUGCUCUUUUUUCUCUAGCUUAUCUCCAAAGUAUAACAUGUCUGAAUAGGAUAGACUAUGUCCACUAUCAUUUGUGGAGUGAUUGAGUGAUUCUUUGUGUUUCCUUGCUUAAUGCCAUCAAUGUAGGACAUUGUCAAGUGUUUGAACAAUAUAUUUUUAUCGUACUAUAUAAAAAUAGCCAUAGAUUUCAUUUGUUUGUUUCUUCAAUCAAAAUAUGUUGAUUGAUCACCUAUUUUGCACAUGUACUUUGCAGGAAGGAAAAACAUACACUGACGUCAGGAGUGUAUAUUCUCACAGUGUGAGUCAGGCAAUACAAAUAUAAAUAAAGUAAUUUCAGAUUCUGACAAGUACCAUUAAAAAAAAAUUCAGAGUAAUGAAAUAGAAAGUGAUGGAAUGCUCAAGGAAACCCCUCCAAAGAGAUGACCUUUGAGAAGGCACAAAAAUGAGAAGAAGUCACUCAUUUGAAAACAGAGGAAAGGGAAUUCUUAAUAAAGAGAAAAGCAAGUGCAAAGGCCUUGCAGUAGAAAGAAGUCUAGCAUCUUAGAAACACACACACUUCUGGAGAUGUGGUCAAGGGGCAGAAUGUAACCAAAUGUAGGUGGAACAACACCCAGAGACCAAAUCAUGUGGAGCCUUAUUCACCACGGUGAGGAAUUUCUCUCUAAAAUCCUACUGUGGAAUUUCAAGCCGGGGAACGAAAGGACUUAUAUUUUGAGAAGAACAGAGAAUGGACUCAUAGGGCAGGGAGGAAGCAGGGAGAAAGGUUCAGAGGCUCUGGUGGAAUCAGAGCUAGAGAUGAUGGUGUUGUAGGCCAGAAGGAGAACAAAGGGGAUAGUGAGCUGUGGCCAGAUUUAAGUUCUAUUUCAGAGUAAAAGCUAGGACUUGCUGUUGGAUUAGAGGGGAGAGGUAAGAGGAAAGAGACGGAUGUAGGAUGACUCUGGUGGGAGACAGCUCUGCUUACACUGCCAGGUCUCCUGGCUGUUCAGGUUUCUUAUGGCAAAAAGAGCUGGGAGCAGGACACCUGUGCUUCUGUUCUGCGUCUGGCACUAUCAAUUCAUGUGAAAGAUGAUAUUAUUAGGUUGGUACAAAAGUAAUUGCGGUUUUUGCGGUUACUUUUAGUAAUGAUAACAGCAAAACAUUAUAACUGCUAAUUAUUGAAUGCUGUCUAUAUUCUAGGCACUGCGGUUUUUGCUUUACAUAAAAUCUUCCAGUUAGUCAUUUGAACAACUCCCUGUUUUAUAGAUGAUGAGAAAAGCCCAGAAAUGAGGAAUACUUUUCCCAAGGUCACAGAGUUAGUCAGUGGCAGAACUGGGUUUGAAUUCAAGUCUGUCUGACUUUAAGACCAUAAAGCCUAACCUCUAUGCUGUACUGGCUCCCAGAAGGGUAAUACUUGAUUUUAUAGUUCAAAAUACCCUUUAAUAUUUUAUGUCAUUUGAUUUUGAAGGAGUCGUCUCUCAUUCCUGUUGAUUCUUACCCUAUCAGUGCUCUGAUAUAAGGAAGAAUAAAAUUAUUUCUAUUUUGAAUACCAGAAAAGUGAGGCUUGGAGGUUAUAUGAGUUCCCAAGUUUAGGUAGGUAGUAAUGGAAAGGCUAGAAAUCAAACCAAAUUCUUUCAGUCCCUGGCCCAUGACCCUGAUGGCAGAUGAGUCAGUUGACUUAGCUAGGACUUCAGUUAGACCUGAUCUCCUGAUGAGUAUAUCAAGGAGGGGUGGUUUAAGUGAAGUAUAGUACAUGAUCUGCCUUUUUAACAGUUGUUGGUUUCAUGUACCUCUCUGGCUUUUGUAUGUCGAAUCAUUAUUGCUAAGCUGGCUAGGAAUUUCCUCCCCAUAUUCACUCAUUACCUUUCCUCAUUAUUUACUCUGUACCAGCCCAGAAAAUUUUGGCUGACUACUUCCAACACAUUUUUGGGAAUAGCAUCAGAGGAAAUCACAAAUAUUUGUGUAGUAGCAUUGCUUUACACUUCUUUUGUCUUCCUUGCAAUGUUAAACAGUGAGGUCCCCAGUAGAAAGUCUCAUAAAGUAAUUUAUGUAUGUAAAAUAUAUGAAAAGAAAUGAUUUAAAAUUAUAAAAAAAGAAGUCUGAGACACACACACAUAUAUAUAUAACUAUACUCAAACUUAAUUUUAUUUUCACUUUUUAGUGAAUUGCUUUGGUAUCAUAAGUAUGUAUGUGUUUAAAUACAUAUUUAUUAACUAUUUAUCUUUAAAAAGUUUGGAAACAACUUUGGAGAUAAUAGGUUCAUUGAAGAUUUUAGACACAAAUGGAAUGGUUAGAAUUGUUAUUUAGGAUGACUACUCUAAAAUCCAUGUGCCAGUUGAUAGAAUGGGAGAGAGACUGGAGACAGGAAGAUAGUUAGAAGUUAUAAUUAUAUUAUCUGUAAAGUAUAAUGGGGGGUUGAGUUACAAUCACGACUCUUACUACCGGAAAAUUUAAGGAAGUUAGAAACAUAAGAUGUAAUCAAUUACACUGAUAAGUAUAUGUACACACACAUUACUGUAUUGCAAGAAGUCACUGAAAUAUUGUGAUAAAUUAUAAAAUGGCUAGUUUAAUUAAUAUAAGCAAUCUAGAUAAUUCAGAAACCCUUGACAUUUAAUAAACUUAUUUUGAACUUGUCUUAUGAAACAUUAGUGAUCACAUUUAAUCUACUGUAAUUUAAUUUAAAGACAUUGAGUUAUCUGGAAAAUUGGCUUAAAUUUUCAUUUCAUUUGCAUGUUUAUAUACUCUCAAAGAACAUUAAAUGUCAUUUUUGGAGGGGUAUGUGUGUGAGUUUAUGAGUGAGAGUGGAGGGAGGUGAGAGGAGGAAAGAGAGAAGAGUUUUCAUCUUAAUGUUCUGGAGUUGUCUCCUGGAUUUUAACAGAGGUUUUCCUCCUUUGGUAUGUCUGACAGAAUGGUUAUUGCCUUUAACCAGGUUAAAAAUAUUUUGCUCCAUCUACAUCCAGGCGGAAUUGAUAAUUGUUCUGUAUGUGGUAGAGGACUGAGGAGAAAUGAAAUGUUUUGUAAAAAUGAAAGAAAUAAAUUUGUUUGAAGUAUUGUGGGAACUCUCUAGGGUGUGAAUAGAUCACCUGCCAUUUUAAUUGUUCUGGUUGAGGUGAUGUGUUCUGUGUAAAGGUUCAGUAUGUUGUAACAUUAGUUGAAAAAGUGUUUACUUACAGGCUGGGUUUACCAAUGUUUCUGCCACUCCAAGUAAAACAUACUGAAGAAUCAGGUAGAAACAGGGCAUGGAGGAAACAGUGAGAACUUUUCCUGAAAGGGGCUGCUCCACUGGAGGGAAGUGUUUUCUGUGUAUUUCAAAGAAGCCAGCUAUCAUCACAGACAAUGCAGCAAAAAGAUUUCCAGCAACUAAAGGAAAUAAUGCAGAAGAAAAAAAAAUUAAAGGAAGAGCUAGAGAUUUAUGUAACAGGUCCUAACAUUUCUUAUGCAUUGACAUUCGAUGUUUCCUCAUCAUUUGUUUUCCCUCAGAAUAUCUAGACGCCAGUUAACUCUCCUGUCUGACCAUACAGUGCUUAGGCUCUGGUCUCAGAAAGGGCUGAGUUGACUUCCUACUCCCUGACUUCCUGUAUGUAUGACCCCAGGCCUGUAAUGUAAAAUCAUUAUCACUUUCCCCAGCUCUAAGGUGGGGUUAAUGAUGUUUACUUUGUAAGGUGCUUGUGAUCAUUUAAAUAAGACAAUUGAUAUCUGCUGGGGAUUGAUUCCAAGAUCCCAAAGAAACCAAAAUUCUUGCUGCUCAAGUCCCUUAAAUGAAAAGGCUUAGUAUUUAUUUGCACAUAACCUACGCUCCUCCUCCUCUAUUCUUUAAAUCAUAUCUAGGUUACUUAUAAUCCCUAAUACAAUGCAAAUGGUAUGUAAAUAGUUGUUAUACCAUAUUGUUU
Molecule: long non-coding RNA, 6232 nt
Organism: Sapajus apella (tufted capuchin)
Lineage: Eukaryota; Metazoa; Chordata; Mammalia; Primates; Cebidae
Exons: 2
Source: RefSeq, a predicted model, not a curated record